GGAGACUUGGUGUAGCGGUAACACACGCCUAACACAGAAGCGAUCGGUACAGUUGGGCUUGGCCCCUAAGUUAGCUAACUCGAGCCGAGGACUAGCAUGAUUGAGCGAGUGGAGGGUUCGAAUCCCCCAGUUUCCU
Molecule: non-coding RNA, 136 nt
Organism: Mycena crocata
Lineage: Eukaryota; Fungi; Basidiomycota; Agaricomycetes; Agaricales; Mycenaceae
Source: the annotation of a GenBank genome assembly